RNAcentral lists this ribosomal RNA (492 nucleotides) under uncultured bacterium. Its description in RNAcentral is "partial 16S ribosomal RNA". It matches the Rfam family "Bacterial small subunit ribosomal RNA", at positions 29 to 507 of the family's 1533-position model. The record is from RNAcentral.
AGUGAACGCUGGCGGUAGGCCUAACACAUGCAAGUCGAACGGCAGCACAGUAAGAGCUUGCUCUUACGGGUGGCGAGUGGCGGACGGGUGAGGAAUACAUCGGAAUCUACUUUUUCGUGGGGGAUAACGUAGGGAAACUUACGCUAAUACCGCAUACGACCUACGGGUGAAAGCAGGGGAUCUUCGGACCUUGCGCGAUUGAAUGAGCCGAUGUCGGAUUAGCUAGUUGGCGGGGUAAAGGCCCACCAAGGCGCCGAUCCGUAGCUGGUGUGAGAGGAUGGUCAGCCACACUGGAACUGAGACACGGUCCAGACUCCUGCGGGAGGCAGCAGUGGGGAAUAUUGGGCAAUGGGCGCAAGCCUGAUCCAGCGAUACCGCGUGGGUGAAGAAGGCCUUCGGGUUGUAAAGCCCUUUUGUUGGGAAAGAAAAGCAGCAGGUUAAUACCCCGCUGUUCUGACGGUACCCAAAGAAUAAGCACCGGCUAACUUCGUG